GAUGAACGCUAGCUACAGGCUUAACACAUGCAAGUCGAGGGGAAACGGCAUUGAGUGCUUGCACUCUUUGGACGUCGACCGGCGCACGGGUGAGUAACGCGUAUCCAACCUUCCCAUUACUGUGGGAUAACCUGCCGAAAGGCAGACUAAUACCGCAUAGUCUUCGAUGACGGCAUCAGAUUUGAGGUAAAGAUUUAUCGGUAAUGGAUGGGGAUGCGUCUGAUUAGCUUGUUGGCGGGGUAACGGCCCACCAAGGCUACGAUCAGUAGGGGUUCUGAGAGGAAGGUCCCCCACAUUGGAACUGAGACACGGUCCAAACUCCUACGGGAGGCAGCAGUGAGGAAUAUUGGUCAAUGGACGGAAGUCUGAACCAGCCAAGUAGCGUGCAGGAGGACGGCCCUAUGGGUUGUAAACUGCUUUUGUAUGGGGAUAAAGUUAGGGACGUGUCCCUAUUUGCAGGUACCAUACGAAUAAGGACCGGCUAAUUCCGUG
This 492-nucleotide ribosomal RNA is filed under the name uncultured bacterium. RNAcentral's name for it is "partial 16S ribosomal RNA". It matches the Rfam family "Bacterial small subunit ribosomal RNA", at positions 28 to 507 of the family's 1533-position model. The record is from RNAcentral.